AGCUGAUCAGCAUGCGCGUGGUGAGAGUCUCGAUGUAAGCAUUAGUUGGAGAGGCAUACUAUACGUAGGUUUGACGUACGACAGAUAGCACGCUACUCUGUGCAGCAGC
Molecule: ribosomal RNA, 109 nt
Filed under: uncultured Pseudomonas sp.
Lineage: Bacteria; Pseudomonadati; Pseudomonadota; Gammaproteobacteria; Pseudomonadales; Pseudomonadaceae
Description: partial 16S ribosomal RNA
Source: RNAcentral